UAACACAUGCAAGUCGAGCGAAGAACUUAUCAUGAAACCUUCGGGUAGAUUGAUAAACUUCUUAGCGGCGGAUGGGUGAGUAACGCGUGAGGAACCUGCCUUCCACAAGGGGAUAGCCUCGGGAAACCGGGAUUAAUACCCUAUGACACUUAAGAUUCGCAUGAAUAUUAAGUUAAAGCGUUUAGCGGUGGAAGAUGGCCUCGCGUCCCAUUAGCUAGUUGGUGAGGCAACGGCUCACCAAGGCAACGAUGGGUAGCCGGCUUGAGAGAGUGAACGGCCACACUGGAACUGAGACACGGUCCAGACUCCUACGGGAGGCAGCAGUGGGGAAUAUUGCACAAUGGAGGGAACUCUGAUGCAGCGACGCCGCGUGAGCGAUGAAGGCCUUCGGGUCGUAAAGCUCUGUCCUAUGGGACGACAAUGACGGUACCAUAGGAGGAAGCCCCGGCUAACUACGUGCCAGCAGCCGCCGUAAUACGUAGGGCGGCGAGCGUUGU
RNAcentral lists this ribosomal RNA (497 nucleotides) under uncultured eubacterium WJGRT-198. Its description in RNAcentral is "bacterial SSU rRNA". It matches the Rfam family "Bacterial small subunit ribosomal RNA", at positions 49 to 544 of the family's 1533-position model. The record is from RNAcentral.